This is a long non-coding RNA of Canis lupus familiaris (dog), 1395 nucleotides long. RefSeq lists it as uncharacterized. Lineage: Eukaryota; Metazoa; Chordata; Mammalia; Carnivora; Canidae. The transcript has 3 exons. The record is from RefSeq and is a predicted model, not a curated record.
CGGAACCUUCCUUGGAGGGCCUGUCUCCUAUCGGCUGUUGGGGACAUGGAGACUCCUGGAUGUAUAAAAAAGGGUUUUCGCUGGGAAUUUACAGUGAUCAAAGUCUUUCCUGAGGUCGGGGACCAUGUUUCAGAGAAGCUGGUGAGUCUGGUCUUCUCCAUCUCGGGGCCGGUCAUUUAAGUGGGCCUGGACCAGGACAAUGCCACAUAGAAAACUGCCACUGGUGGGUAAAUGAGGCCCAGAGAAGUAGAAGCACUUGCUCAAGAUCACAGAAUGAAUGAGCAACAAGCCCAAGGACUAUUCCCUGAUGUUCAGCCCACUCUUCCUGAUUUGGGCAGAGCUUUGCAUCAUUUCUUCUGUGACCAGGUGGCCAAGCACCUGGACGUCCUGAAGCUCAUGGAAAAGCUCCAGGGAUCAUGGAGCUUUAAUCCCAUCAUGUGAAUCAGGAAUCAUUUUAGCUGCAGAAGAUAUGACUCCCCAGAUGCACGCAGUAAAAAUCACAAUGCUGAGCACAAGUGCUCAGGGGAAAAUCCCGACACAGAACACUAACCUGCCUUUGAGUUUUUCAGUUGAUAUUAUUGUCUGGAGGUGCUUCUAGCAAACCUAUAGCAAAAGGCACCAAAGGUUUAGAAAAAUUUAUGGGGGCAAAACUGAAAAGGGAACUAAUUCUGUCCAUUAGUUUCAUGGUGUCAGUUUAUGUGUGUGAAUAUGAAAAAAAUUAAGAGGAUUAUUUCUCAUAUACUUUGAUGCUGGAACAAAUGCCUCCAGCCAAUGGGGUCUUGGGGGGGGGGGGGGAGGAAGAACCAUUGUUUUUCAUCCUAUAAAAAUAAAUUUUUAUUUGUUCUCUGAUUACAAAAAUAAUAGGUACACCUGAAGAAGUAGAACACUAUAGAAAUAUGCACAACUUAGAGAGGGAAGUUGUUUCAAUAUUGUUCUCCCCCCAAGCAGACUCGUUAAUACUGACUUGUAUUCAGACCUACUAAGUGAGUGCCAGGCACUGGGAGGGCAACAGUGAACAAACACAGAUGCCAUCUGUGAUCUUCCGGAACUCAUAGUUGAGUGCAGAAGAGAUAUGAAAUCAUCACACAACUGUAAAAAUUCAAUUGUGUUUUGCAUUUAAAAGGAGACAUACGAAGGCACGAAAUUGAGAAAGAGACCUUGAUGAGAAGGCUUGGGAAAGCUUUGUAGAAGGAGUCACAGUGGAGUUUGGGACCUGUUAAGUAUGCGAAGAUGGGAGGAAAGAGUGAUCAAGGAAGAAGAAAUGUCUAUGCAAAGGCCCUGUGGCAGGAGGGAGAAAAAUCAGUGUUGUCAGAGUGACUGGUUCAUGGAGAGGCAGCAGAGGCAUCUGGGGGGGUCUGUGAAGAUCGUGGCCGAGACUUUGUCCUAACAGUAAAG